AAGCUUGACUAUAGUUACCACAGAUGAGUUAUUGGUUCUUUUUGUUCCUUUUCAGGGUGGAGAUACCAUUAGUGUUGGUGGUGGAGGUAGCCCUGUUAUAGAAGGCAAUGGCAUAGGGAACAAUUUUCAACCUGGUUCAAGAAAUAAUGGCAACACCAUUAGCAUUGGGGAUGGCGGCAACCCUGUUGUUGAAGGCAAUGGCAUUGGGGUGAGUGUGGGACAAACUUCCUUGCAUUUCCUGCUGAUCAGCAUUGCCUUCUUCUCUGUAGAAAAAUGGUUUCUGUUUAAAAUCAAAGCAGACUUUUCACUGGAUUUUCCUUCCCCCUUCAAAAAAUACAGUAUGACUAUCUAAAAUUCAAAAGCAAGAGGAAGAAAAUCCAUACACAAUAAUAAAUAGCGAGAAUAUUCACA
RNAcentral lists this long non-coding RNA (411 nucleotides) under Pogona vitticeps (central bearded dragon). Its description in RNAcentral is "lncRNA (ENSPVIG00000003550.1)". Lineage: Eukaryota; Metazoa; Chordata; Lepidosauria; Squamata; Agamidae. The record is from RNAcentral.